Danio rerio (zebrafish) is the source of this 131-nucleotide small nucleolar RNA. The record is from Ensembl. Lineage: Eukaryota; Metazoa; Chordata; Actinopteri; Cypriniformes; Danionidae.
GGGCAUCCACUGAUAGGCCUGUUGCCUUGGUUUGUGGCCUCUGGUUUGCACAAGGAUGCAACAGUAAUAUUCCUCAAUAUAUCUGUCCAUCUGAAUGGUGGCUGGAAAAGUCUAAUCUGAGGAGAAUAGGA